RNAcentral lists this ribosomal RNA (465 nucleotides) under uncultured bacterium. Its description in RNAcentral is "partial 16S ribosomal RNA". It matches the Rfam family "Bacterial small subunit ribosomal RNA", at positions 30 to 507 of the family's 1533-position model. The record is from RNAcentral.
CGAACGCUGGCGGCGUGCUUAACACAUGCAAGUCGAACGGAAAGGCCCUGCUUUUGUGGGGUGCUCGAGUGGCGAACGGGUGAGUAACACGUGAGUAACCUGCCCUUGACUUUGGGAUAACUUCAGGAAACUGGGGCUAAUACCGGAUAGGAGCUCCUGCUGCAUGGUGGGGGUUGGAAAGUUUCGGCGGUUGGGGAUGGACUCGCGGCUUAUCAGCUUGUUGGUGGGGUAGUGGCUUACCAAGGCUUUGACGGGUAGCCGGCCUGAGAGGGUGACCGGCCACAUUGGGACGGAGAUACGGCCCAGACUCCUACGGGAGGCAGCAGUGGGAAUAUUGCACAAUGGGCGGAAGCCUGAUGCAGCAACGCCGCGUGCGGGAUGACGGCCUUCGGGUUGUAAACCGCUUUCGCCUGUGACGAAGCGUGAGUGACGGUAAUGGGUAAAGAAGCACCGGCUAACUACGUG